This 2369-nucleotide long non-coding RNA is filed under the name Homo sapiens (human). RNAcentral describes it as "non-protein coding lnc-CEP97-8:2". The record is from RNAcentral. Lineage: Eukaryota; Metazoa; Chordata; Mammalia; Primates; Hominidae.
GCAAUUCAUCCAGAGGCGCUGGAGGGUUCUCGGGCCCAGAGGGCCUGCCAAAAAGGCAGUCAGACAGUUGGUUUAUGAGUCAUUCUGUCUCUGUCUCUCCUCUCUUUUUUUUUUUUGAGACGGAGUUUCGCUCUUGUUGCCCAGGCUGGAGUGCAGUGGCGCAAUCUCGGCUCACCGUAACCUCCGCCUCCCAGGUUCAAGCGAUUCUCCUGCCUCAGCCUCCCUAGUAGCUGGGAUUACAGGCAUGUGCCACCACGUCCGGCUAAUUUUGUAUUUUUCGUAGAGACGGGGUUUCUCCAUGUUGGUCAGGCUGGUCUCGAACUCCUGACCUCAGGUGGUCCGCCCUCCUCGGCCUCCCAAAGUGUUGGGAUUAUAGGCGGGAGCCACUGCGCCCGGCCCAUUCUGCCUCUCUUACUGCCAAGUAUCCUAGAGCCAUCUUCCGGCUGCAGGGAAUGUGAACUGAAGAGAAAGGUGUCCUCUCUUCUCAUAAAGAGACCCAAAGACGAAUGCCCCGCAGUUUAGACACAACAACCGACCAGCAUUGAUGUUAAAGAAGAGAUAUCAAGACUGACAGAAAGGACUUUUUGUGGCAAAAAGGUAUCAAAAGAUAAACAAGACCCAAGGCCAUGCCAGAGACAAGGCCUGGAGUUACCCAUGCUGGAGUGCAGUGGUGUGACUGUAGCUCCCUGCAGCCUCGAACUCCUUGGCCUCAAUUGAUCCUGCCACCUUACCUUCUGAGUAACUGGGACUACAGUGUGUGUCACCACACCUUUUUUUUUUUUGACAUGAGGGAUAUAUGCUGGUAAUAAAAAUAAAAUUUUGGGGUAUGGCAAUAGGCAUGCUACUCAAAAUGCUGCCAAGUUACAAAGUGUAACUAUGAUUUGUAAUGGAUAGCAGCAGUGACAAGUGAUGAGAAUGGUCUCUUGUCAUGACUACUCUGUUAUAGUGUAAAAGCAGCCAUAGACAGUAGAUAAAUGAAUAAGUAUGGCUGUAUUCCAAUAAAGUUUUACUCAUGGACACUGAAAUAUGAAUUUCAUAUAAUUUUGUGUCACAAAAUAUUAAAUUUUUUUUCUAGCCAUUAAAAAUGUACAAAGCAUAAUUAGCUGUGGACUGUACAAAAGCAGGAAGCAGGUUGGACAUGGCUUUUGGGCCAUAGUUGGCCAACCCCUGCUAGAGAACAUCUAUACAUAGCAGCCUUUUGAGUAGUUUUGUUCAUCUGAGGUCAUGAAAAGGAAUUAGUAUUGGCAGGGUGCGGUGGCUCACGCCUGUAAUCCCAGCACUUUGGGAGGCAAAGGCGGGCAGAUCACCUGAGGUCAGGAGUUUGAGACCAGCCUGACCAACAUGGUGAAACCCCGUCUCUACAAAAAAUUAGCCGGGUGUGGUGGCGCAUGUCUGUAAUCCCAGCUACUGGGGAGGCUGAGGCAGGAGAAUAGCUUGAACCCAGGAGGUGGAGGUUGCAGUGAGCCGAGAUUGUGCAUUGCACUCCAGCCUGAGCAACAGGAGCGAAACUCUGUCUCAAAAAAACAAAAAACAAAAAAACAAAAAAACAAGGUGGCACAGCUGGCUUGAGCAACUGAACUGGAAACAAGAUGCAGGACCCCAACGCAGACACUGAGUGGAAUGACAUCUUAACGCAAAAAGGGUAUCUUACCCCCCAAGGAAAGUCUGAAAGAAUUGGAAGAGGAGGCAGAAGAGGAGCAGCGCAUCCUCCAGCAGUCAGUGGUGAAAACAUAUGAAGAUAUGACUUUGGAAGAGCUGGAGGAUCAUGAAGACGAGUUUAAUGAGGAGGAUGAAUGUGCUAUUGAAAUGUGCAGACAGCAGAGACUGGCUGAGUGGAAAGCAACUAAACUGAAGAAUAAAUUUUGAGAAGUUUUGGAGAUCUCAGGGAAGGAUUAUGUUCAAGAAGUUACCAAAGCUGGUGAGGGCUUGUGGGUCAUCUUGCACCUUUACAAACAAGGAAUUCCCCUCUGUGCCCUGAUAAAUCAGAACCUCAGUGGACUUGCCAGGAAGUUUCCUGAUGUCAAAUUUAUCAAAGCCAUUUCAACAACCUGCAUACCCAAUUAUCCUGAUAGGAAUCUGCCCCGAUAUUUGUUUACCUGGAAGGAGAUAUCAAGGCUCAGUUUAUUGGUCCUCUGGUGUUUGGUGGCAUGAACCUGACAAGAGAUGAGUUGGAAUGGAAACUGUCUGAAUCUGGAGCAAUUAUGAUGGACCUGGAGGAAAACCCUAAGAAGCCGAUUGAAGAUGUAUUGCUGUCAUCAGUGUGGCACUCUGUCCUCAUGAGGAGGGACAGCGAUUCUGAGGGUGACUGAGGCUACAGCUGCUAUCACAUGCCGAACUUUCUUGUGACAAAUGUCUGGAUUUUUUAAAAA